CGCGUAGGCUGUUCGUUAAGUCUUGGGUGAAAUCUUUCGGCUCAACCGGAAGACUGCCCGGGAUACUGGCGAGCUCGAGGGUGGUAGGGGCGAUCGGAACUGCCAGUGGAGCGGUGAAAUGCGUUGAUAUUGGCAGGAACGCCGGUGGCGAAAGCGGAUCGCUGGAUCACUCCUGACGCUGAGGCGCGAAAGCUAGGGAGCAAACG
This 206-nucleotide ribosomal RNA is filed under the name uncultured bacterium. RNAcentral's name for it is "partial 16S ribosomal RNA". It matches the Rfam family "Bacterial small subunit ribosomal RNA", at positions 568 to 774 of the family's 1533-position model. The record is from RNAcentral.